UACGGAGGGGGCUAGCGUUGUCCGAAGUUACUGGGCGUAAAGCGCGCGUAGGCGGGUUGGUAAGUCCGCUGUGAAAGCCCGGAGCUUAACUCCGGAGGGUCGGUGGAUACUGCCAGUCUUGAAGGUGCUAGGGGGAGAUGGAAUUACCGGUGUAGCGGUGAAAUGCGUAGAUAUCGGUAGGAACACCAGUGGCGAAGGCGGUCUCCUGGGGCAUUCUUGACGCUGAGGCGCGAAAGCUGGGGGGGAGCAAACGGG
This 255-nucleotide ribosomal RNA is filed under the name uncultured bacterium. RNAcentral's name for it is "partial 16S ribosomal RNA". It matches the Rfam family "Bacterial small subunit ribosomal RNA", at positions 524 to 776 of the family's 1533-position model. The record is from RNAcentral.